GGAUGUGAGGGCCAUCUGGCUGCAAUAUCUGUCACCCCAUUGAUCGCCAAAUUGGCUGAUCUGGCUGGUGAGGUGGGUGUCUCCUUCCUCCCUCACCACCCCAUGUGUAUCUCUCCAGAAGCUGCUUGCUGGAAGAGAAUGACCUUCCCCGAUAGAGGAGGACCAUUCUUCAGAUAAGGGUCCACAAAUAGCUGCACUCCCCUGGUAGAAGCUCCAAGUAAACACUCAAGGUCCAUUUGUAGGAGAACGUAGGAUAGCAGUCAAGCUUCUAAGACCACAGACAUAUCUAAAUGAGGCAUUGUAUGUGACAGUCUGCCUUUCUUU
The sequence is an unclassified non-coding RNA, 324 nucleotides long. Its record names the gene 7SK. It matches the Rfam family "7SK RNA". Rfam says of the family: 7SK was discovered as an abundant small nuclear RNA in the mid-70s but a possible function has only recently been suggested. The record is from Ensembl.